ACAGAUUUUUUUGAUGGAUCUUAAUAGAUAAAUAUUUGAACAAAUUCAAGCUAACUCCAUAAAUGGGGUCAUCAGCAAAAAAUGCAUUAACACAUGCAUAAUUAAUAGCCAACAAAACAGAUCAUUUUCUCAUUGUUGAAGAGUAACAAUAACAUUUUUCAUGUGAUAUCCAUCUCGUAACACAUCAGCUCAUCAUCACCACAAGUACCAGCAGUCAUGCAUAAUUAGCCAACAAAACAGAUCAUUUUCUCAUUGUUGAAGAGUAACAAUAACAUUUUUCAUGUGAUAUCCAUCUGGUAACACAUCAGCUCAUCAUCACCACAAGUACCAGCAGUCCCUUAUCUUCUAAUUGCAUUAUCCACAUCAUCAGCUCCUCAUCACCACCAGUAGCAGCAG
This 396-nucleotide long non-coding RNA is filed under the name Triticum aestivum (bread wheat). RNAcentral's name for it is "long non-coding RNA (TAES_LNC009617)". The record is from RNAcentral. Lineage: Eukaryota; Viridiplantae; Streptophyta; Magnoliopsida; Poales; Poaceae.